CUCCAAAAGCCCCAAGUUCGCCCCUGAUGUGUUAGGUGUCCCUUUCAGUGGCCUCCCUCUCCCCUGACUACGGUUGAGUGGGAGGGGGCUACUGUAGGGGAAGAGGGAGGCCAGCCCUGUGGAGAGCUCCAGUACACUAGGUCAUCUGUAUUUAACGUGUCCAGCAUUAUGAUAACCCAUUUUAGAAAUACUCAUGGAAUGGUUAUAACACCCCUGUGAGGGAGGUGGCAUCAUUUUUACAGAUAAAGGAAACUGAAGUAGACAUUAAGGGCCCCAGAGGGAUUUGAACCUAGGAUGCCUGGUUUGGGGGAUGUUCACCGCAGGUGCUGCUGACAUAAAUCAAGAUGCUUAAUUCUGGGUUCCGUCUUGGAGUGGCGCUGGAGAAGAGGGUCAGCAUCGACAGCAGGGCUGGCUGCCCACUCUGUCCUGUUUGCUCAGCUGUAAAAUGAGCAGAAGAGGUGCCUCCCGCUCCCACAAUCCUGUCUGGGGUCGGACCCUGAGUGGCAAGGAGAGAUCCCCUUCCGAGGAGAAGGAAGAGGCUGGCAGAGUGGGAAAGACUGAGGUAUAAGGAAAGCGAUCAGAAGCAAAGGACCUGUGAUCUUGUUUGCAAGCACAGUGCUUGUCCCUGAUACCCCAUGGGUGAACAUGUAUGGACUCCUCGCACACAAUGUAUGGACUUCAAUGCUCGAGGGACACGUGUCAUCUCCUGUAAUACCCAGACAGCCUCCAACCUCUUUGUCAUUUUAAGGCAGACCAGACUAUGGAAAUGAUGUUAGACAAAAAGCAAAUCUGAGCAAUUUUCUUACUUGAAUACAAAAUGGGUCGUAAAGCAGCAGAGACAAUUGGCAACAUCAACAACACAUCUGGCCCAGGAAUGCACAGUGCAAUGGUGAUUCAAGAAGUUUUGCAAAGGAGAUGAGAGGCUUGAAGAUGAGGAGUGCAGUGGCUGGCCAUCGGAAGGUGACAACAACCAAUUGAGAGCAGUCACUGAGGCUGAUCCUCUUACAACUACACCAAAAGUUGCCAAAGAACUCAGUGUCAGCUAUUCUACAGUUGUUCGGCAUUUAAAGUAAAUUGGAAAGGUGAAAAGGCUUGGUAAGUGGGUGCCUCAUGAGCUGACUGCAAAUCAAAAAUAUCGUCAUGUUGAAGUGUCAUCUUUUCUUAUUCUAUGCAACAACAACCAACCAUUUCUCAAUUGGGAUUGUGACCUGCAAUGAAAAGUGAACUGCAUACAACAACCAGCAAUGACCAGCUCAGUGGUUGGAGUGAGAAGAAGCUCCAAAGCACUUACCAAAGCCAAACUUGCGCCAAAAAAAGGUCAUGGUCACUGUUUGGUGGCCUGCUGCUGGUCUGAUCCACUGCAGCUUUCUGAAUCCUGGUGAAACCAUUAUAUCUGAGAAGUAUGCUCAGCAAAUCAGUGAAAUCACCAAAAACUGCAGCCGGUAUCAGUCAACAGAAAGGGCCUGACGAAAGGUCGCACAACCAAAAGUUGAAGGAAUCGGGCUACGAUGUUUCGCCUCAUCCGCCAUAUUCACCUGACCUCGGCCAACCAACUACUACUUCUUCAAUCAUCUUGACAACUUUUUGCAGGAAAAACACUUCCACAACCAGCAGGAUACAGAAAAUGCUUUCCAAGAGUUCGUUGAUUUCUGAAGCAUUGAUUUUUAUGCUACAGGAGUAAGCAAACUUAUUUCUAGUUGGCAAAAAUGUGUUGAUUGUAAAGGUUCCUGUUUUGAUUAAUAAAGAUGUGUUUGAGCCUAGUUAUAAUGACUUAAAA
Long non-coding RNA from Bos taurus (domestic cattle), 1777 nucleotides. The record is from Ensembl. NCBI's taxonomy places the organism in Eukaryota, Metazoa, Chordata, Mammalia, Artiodactyla, Bovidae.